Molecule: ribosomal RNA, 497 nt
Filed under: uncultured bacterium
Lineage: Bacteria
Description: partial 16S ribosomal RNA
Rfam family: Bacterial small subunit ribosomal RNA
Source: RNAcentral
GAUGAACGCUGGCGGCGUGCCUAAUACAUGCAAGUCGAGCGAACGGACGAGAAGCUUGCUUCUCUGAUGUUAGCGGCGGACGGGUGAGUAACACGUGGAUAACCUACCUAUAAGACUGGGAUAACUUCGGGAAACCGGAGCUAAUACCGGAUAAUAUUUUGAACCGCAUGGUUCAAAAGUGAAAGACGGUCUUGCUGUCACUUAUAGAUGGAUCAGCGCUGCAUUAGCUAGUUGGUAAGGUAACGGCUUACCAAGGCAACGAUGCAUAGCCGACCUGAGAGGGUGAUCAGCCACACUGGAACUGAGACACGGUCCAGACUCCUACGGGAGGCAGCAGUAGGGAAUCUUCCGCAAUGGGCGAAAGCCUGACGGAGCAACGCCGCGUGAGUGAUGAAGGUCUUCGGAUCGUAAAACUCUGUUAUUAGGGAAGAACAUAUGUGUAAGUAACUGUGCACAUCUUGACGGUACCUAAUCAGAAAGCCACGGCUAACUACGUG